CAUGUAGGUGGGACUUUAAGUCAGUUGUUAAAUAUUACGGCUUAACCGUAUUAUGCAAUUGAUACUGGAGUUCUUGAGUUCGAGAGGGGAUGGUAGAAUGUCUAGUGUAGCGGUGGAAUGCGUAGAUAUUAGAUAGAAUACCUGAGGUGAAGACGACUGUCUGGCUCGUAACUGACACUGAUAUGCGAAAGCAUGGGUAGCGAACAGGAUUAGAUACCCUGGUAGUCC
This 228-nucleotide ribosomal RNA is filed under the name uncultured bacterium. Its description in RNAcentral is "partial 16S ribosomal RNA". It matches the Rfam family "Bacterial small subunit ribosomal RNA", at positions 568 to 796 of the family's 1533-position model. The record is from RNAcentral.